Molecule: unclassified non-coding RNA, 167 nt
Filed under: Heterophaeomoniella pinifoliorum
Lineage: Eukaryota; Fungi; Ascomycota; Eurotiomycetes; Phaeomoniellales
Also listed under: 1 other name
Description: partial internal transcribed spacer 2
Source: RNAcentral
UCAACCCUCAAGCCCGGCUUGUUAUUGGGUCCCUUAUCGUUAAAGAUAGGCCCGAAAGAUAAUGGCGGCGUCAUGAAUGACCCCAGGUGCAGCGAGCUUAUAGCAUACACUGAGGUGGUCUUUGUGGCCCGGCCCCUUUUCGUUAAAGCAAUUUAACUAAACUCAAA